AUUGAACGCUGGCGGCAGGCUUAACACAUGCAAGUCGAGCGGGGGAAGGUAGCUUGCUACCGGACCUAGCGGCGGACGGGUGAGUAAUGCUUAGGAAUCUGCCUAUUAGUGGGGGACAACAUCUCGAAAGGGAUGCUAAUACCGCAUACGUCCUACGGGAGAAAGCAGGGGAUCUUCGGACCUUGCACUAAUAGAUGAGCCUAAGUCGGAUUAGCUAGUUGGUGGGGUAAAGGCCUACCAAGGCGACGAUCUGUAGCGGGUCUGAGAGGAUGAUCCGCCACACUGGGACUGAGACAAGGCCCAGCCUCCUACGGGAGGCAGCAGGGGGGAAUAUUGGACAAUGGGGGGAACCCUGAUCCAGCCAUGCCGCGUGUGUGAAGAAGGCCUUAUGGUUGUAAAGCACUUUAAGCGAGGAGGAGGCUACUUUAGUUAAUACCUAGAGAUAGUGGACGUUAUUCGCAGAAUAAGCACCGGCUAACUCUGUGCCAGCCGCCGCCGUAA
RNAcentral lists this ribosomal RNA (501 nucleotides) under uncultured bacterium. RNAcentral's name for it is "partial 16S ribosomal RNA". It matches the Rfam family "Bacterial small subunit ribosomal RNA", at positions 30 to 523 of the family's 1533-position model. The record is from RNAcentral.